GAUGAACGCUGGCGGCGUGCCUAAUACAUGCAAGUCGAGCGAACGGACGAGAAGCUUGCUUCUCUGAUGUUAGCGGCGGACGGGUGAGUAACACGUGGAUAACCUACCUAUAAGACUGGGAUAACUUCGGGAAACCGUAGCUAAUACCGGAUAAUAUUUUGAACCGCAUGGUUCAAAAGUGAAAGACGGUCUUGCUGUCACUUAUAGAUGGAUCCGCGCUGCAUUAGCUAGUUGGUAAGGUAACGGCUUACCAAGGCAACGAUGCAUAGCCGACCUGAGAGGGUGAUCGGCCACACUGGAACUGAGACACGGUCCAGACUCCUACGGGAGGCAGCAGUAGGGAAUCUUCCGCAAUGGGCGAAAGCCUGACGGAGCAACGCCGCGUGAGUGAUGAAGGUCUUCGGAUCGUAAAACUCUGUUAUUAGGGAAGAACAUAUGUGUAAGUAACUGUGCACAUCUUGACGGUACCUAAUCAGAAAGCCACGGCUAACUACGUGCCAGCAGCCGCGGUAAUACGUAGGUGGCAAGCGUUAUCCGGAAUUAUUGGGCGUAAAGCGCGCGUAGGCGGUUUUUUAAGUCUGAUGUGAAAGCCCACGGCUCAACCGUGGAGGGUCAUUAGAAACUGGAAAACUUGAGUGCAGAAGAGGAAAGUGGAAUUCCAUGUGUAGCGGUGAAAUGCGCAGAGAUAUGGAGGAACACCAGUGGCGAAGGCGACUUUCUGGUCUGUAACUGACGCUGAUGUGCGAAAGCGUGGGGAUCAAACAGGAUUAGAUACCCUGGUAGUCCACGCCGUAAACGAUGAGUGCUAAGUGUUAGGGGGUUUCCGCCCCUUAGUGCUGCAGCUAACGCAUUAAGCACUCCGCCUGGGGAGUACGACCGCAAGGUUGAAACUCAAAGGAAUUGACGGGGACCCGCACAAGCGGUGGAGCAUGUGGUUUAAUUCGAAGCAACGCGAAGAACCUUACCAAAUCUUGACAUCCUUUGACAACUCUAGAGAUAGAGCUUUCCCCUUCGGGGGACAAAGUGACAGGUGGUGCAUGGUUGUCGUCAGCUCGUGUCGUGAGAUGUUGGGUUAAGUCCCGCAACGAGCGCAACCCUUAAGCUUAGUUGCCAUCAUUAAGUUGGGCACUCUAAGUUGACUGCCGGUGACAAACCGGAGGAAGGUGGGGAUGACGUCAAAUCAUCAUGCCCCUUAUGAUUUGGGCUACACACGUGCUACAAUGGACAAUACAAAGGGCAGCGAAACCGUGAGGUCAAGCAAAUCCCAUAAAGUUGUUCUCAGUUCGGAUUGUAGUCUGCAACUCGACUACAUGAAGCUGGAAUCGCUAGUAAUCGUAGAUCAGCAUGCUACGGUGAAUACGUUCCCGGGUCU
Molecule: ribosomal RNA, 1372 nt
Filed under: uncultured bacterium
Lineage: Bacteria
Description: bacterial SSU rRNA
Rfam family: Bacterial small subunit ribosomal RNA
Source: RNAcentral